Molecule: transfer RNA, 64 nt
Filed under: Urostylis flavoannulata
Lineage: Eukaryota; Metazoa; Arthropoda; Insecta; Hemiptera; Urostylididae
Description: tRNA-His
Source: RNAcentral
GGUUUGGUUAGUUUAAUAAGAAUGUUAAUUUGUGGAAUUAAUGGUAUAAGUAUAUACUAAACCC